RNAcentral lists this ribosomal RNA (497 nucleotides) under uncultured bacterium. Its description in RNAcentral is "partial 16S ribosomal RNA". It matches the Rfam family "Bacterial small subunit ribosomal RNA", at positions 28 to 507 of the family's 1533-position model. The record is from RNAcentral.
GACGAACGCUGGCGGCGUGCCUAAUACAUGCAAGUUGAGCGAUGAAGCUUGGUGCUUGCACCACUUUGAAGAGCAGCGAACGGGUGAGUAACGCGUGGGGAAUCUGCCUUUGAGCGGGGGACAACAUUUGGAAACGAAUGCUAAUACCGCAUAACAACUUUAACCAUAAGUUUUAAGUUUGAAAGAUGCAAUUGCAUCACUCAAUGGUGAUCCCCGGUUGUAUUAACUAGUUGGUGAAGUAAAGGCUCAACAAAGCGAUGAAACAUAGCCGGACUGGGAGGGUGAUCGGGCAAAUUGGGAAUGAGACACGGCCCAAACUUCCUCGGGAGGCAAGAGUAAGGAAUCUUCCGCCAUGGACGAAAGGCUGGCCGAGGAACGCCGGGUGAGUGAAUAAGGGUUUCGGAUCGUAAAACUCUUGUGGUAAAGAAGAAACAUGUGUAGAGUGGAAAGUUCAUCAAGUGACGGUAACUAAUCAGAAAGGGACGGCUAACUACGUG